GACGAACGCUGGCGGCGUGCUUAACACAUGCCAGUCGAACGGAAAGGCCCUGCUUUUGUGGGGUGCUCGAGUGGCGAACGGGUGAGUAACACGUGAGUAACCUGCCCUUGACUUUGGGAUAACUUCAGGAAACUGGGGCUAAUACCGGAUAGGAGCUCCUGCUGCAUGGUGGGGGUUGGAAAGUUUCGGCGGUUGGGGAUGGACUCGCGGCUUAUCAGCUUGUUGGUGGGGUAGUGGCUUACCAAGGCUUUGACGGGUAGCCGGCCUGAGAGGGUGACCGGCCACAUGGGGACUGAGAUACGGCCCAGACUCCUACGGGAGGCAGCAGUGGGGAAUAUUGCACAAGGGGCGGAAGCCUGAUGCAGCAACGCCGCGUGCGGGAUGACGGCCUUCGGGUUGGAAACCGCUUUCGCCUGUGACGAAGCGUGAGUGACGGGAAUGGGUAAAGAAGCACAGGCUAACUACGU
RNAcentral lists this ribosomal RNA (467 nucleotides) under uncultured bacterium. RNAcentral's name for it is "partial 16S ribosomal RNA". It matches the Rfam family "Bacterial small subunit ribosomal RNA", at positions 28 to 506 of the family's 1533-position model. The record is from RNAcentral.